RNAcentral lists this ribosomal RNA (407 nucleotides) under Escherichia coli. Its description in RNAcentral is "bacterial SSU rRNA". It matches the Rfam family "Bacterial small subunit ribosomal RNA", at positions 846 to 1253 of the family's 1533-position model. The record is from RNAcentral. Lineage: Bacteria; Pseudomonadati; Pseudomonadota; Gammaproteobacteria; Enterobacterales; Enterobacteriaceae.
CCGGAGCUAACGCGUUAAGUCGACCGCCUGGGGAGUACGGCCGCAAGGUUAAAACUCAAAUGAAUUGACGGGGGCCCGCACAAGCGGUGGAGCAUGUGGUUUAAUUCGAUGCAACGCGAAGAACCUUACCUGGUCUUGACAUCCACGGAAGUUUUCAGAGAUGAGAAUGUGCCUUCGGGAACCGUGAGACAGGUGCUGCAUGGCUGUCGUCAGCUCGUGUUGUGAAAUGUUGGGUUAAGUCCCGCAACGAGCGCAACCCUUAUCCUUUGUUGCCAGCGGUCCGGCCGGGAACUCAAAGGAGACUGCCAGUGAUAAACUGGAGGAAGGUGGGGAUGACGUCAAGUCAUCAUGGCCCUUACGACCAGGGCUACACACGUGCUACAAUGGCGCAUACAAAGAGAAGCGAC